UACGAAGGGGGCUAGCGUUGCUCGGAAUCACUGGGCGUAAAGGGUGCGUAGGCGGGUUUUUAAGUCAGGGGUGAAAUCCUGGAGCUCAACUCCAGAACUGCCUUUGAUACUGAGGAUCUUGAGUUCGGGAGAGGUGAGUGGAACUGCGAGUGUAGAGGUGAAAUUCGUAGAUAUUCGCAAGAACACCAGUGGCGAAGGCGGCUCACUGGCCCGAUACUGACGCUGAGACGCGAAGGCGUGGGGAGCAAACAGG
This 253-nucleotide ribosomal RNA is filed under the name uncultured bacterium. Its description in RNAcentral is "partial 16S ribosomal RNA". It matches the Rfam family "Bacterial small subunit ribosomal RNA", at positions 524 to 776 of the family's 1533-position model. The record is from RNAcentral.